UGCUUAACACAUGCAAGUCGAACGAAGCACUUAUCUUUGAUUCUUCGGAUGAAGAGGUUUGUGACUGAGUGGCGGACGGGUGAGUAACGCGUGGGUAACCUGCCUCAUACAGGGGGAUAACAGUUAGAAAUGACUGCUAAUACCGCAUAAGACCACGGAGCCGCAUGGCUCCGUGGGAAAAACUCCGGUGGUAUGAGAUGGACCCGCGUCUGAUUAGGUAGUUGGUGGGGUAACGGCCUACCAAGCCGACGAUCAGUAGCCGACCUGAGAGGGUGACCGGCCACAUUGGGACUGAGACACGGCCCAAACUCCUACGGGAGGCAGCAGUGGGGAAUAUUGCACAAUGGGGGAAACCCUGAUGCAGCGACGCCGCGUGAGCGAAGAAGUAUUUCGGUAUGUAAAGCUCUAUCAGCAGGGAAGAAAAUGACGGUACCUGACUAAGAAGCACCGGCUAAAUACGUGCCAGCAGCCGCGGUAAUACGUAUGGUGCAAGCGUUAUCCGGAUUUACUGGGUGUAAAGGGAGCGUAGACGGCUGUGUAAGUCUGAAGUGAAAGCCCGGGGCUCAACCCCGGGACUGCUUUGGAAACUAUGCAGCUAGAGUGUCGGAGAGGUAAGUGGAAUUCCCAGUGUAGCGGUGAAAUGCGUAGAUAUUGGGAGGAACACCAGUGGCGAAGGCGGCUUACUGGACGAUGACUGACGUUGAG
RNAcentral lists this ribosomal RNA (705 nucleotides) under uncultured Lachnospiraceae bacterium. RNAcentral's name for it is "bacterial SSU rRNA". It matches the Rfam family "Bacterial small subunit ribosomal RNA", at positions 45 to 750 of the family's 1533-position model. The record is from RNAcentral. Lineage: Bacteria; Bacillati; Bacillota; Clostridia; Lachnospirales; Lachnospiraceae.